ACUCUUCAAGCUGCUCCCCAAAUUAUGGACAACUUUUCUUCGGCAUGGCCAAAGCUAAAUGUAAAUUAAUGAAUUGUUUAAAGUGCUUAAAAUAUUUACGCUCAAAGCAAGUGGAUGAGCACUGCCACGCCUCCCACCUCCCGCCCCCCUUCGCGGACUAGCUUCAAUCCAGAAUGCUGUGAGCCUGGGCCGCUGACCAAUGAAUAUGCAAACGAUCCGCCACCCACGGACACUCCUCCCACCAAGUUCGUUAUAACGCAGCAUAAGGUCAAGGAGAAAAGGCAACGGAGAAGAGGUGGGCGGAGAAAGUACACUGGUCUACACAGCUCGGAGGUCUAGAUAUUCUAAGCACUACACUUGUUAUUUGUUUU
Non-coding RNA from Drosophila melanogaster (fruit fly), 371 nucleotides. The record is from Ensembl. Lineage: Eukaryota; Metazoa; Arthropoda; Insecta; Diptera; Drosophilidae.